AGAGUUUGAUCAUGGCUCAGAGUGAACGCUGGCGGCAGGCCUAACACAUGCAAGUCGAACGGCAGCACGGCAGUAGCAAUACUGUGGGUGGCGAGUGGCGGACGGGUGAGGAAUACAUCGGGAUCUACCCUGUUGUGGGGGAUAACGUAGGGAAACUUACGCUAAUACCGCAUAAGAACUGAGGUUGAAAGCGGCGGACCGCAAGGCGUCGCGCGAUUGGAUGAACCGAUGCCCGAUUAGCUAGUUGGUGAGGUAAAGGCUCACCAAGGCGACGAUCCGUAGCUGGUCUGAGAGGACGACCAGCCACACUGGAACUGAGACACGGUCCAGACUCCUACGGGAGGCAGCAGUGGGGAAUUUUGGACAAUGGGCGCAAGCCUGAUCCAGCCAUUCCGCGUGAGUGAAGAAGGCCUUCGGGUUGUAAAGCUCUUUCGCAAGGAAAGAAAACUUAUCUCCUAAUACGAGGUGAGGUUGACGGUACCUUGAUAAGAAGCACCGGCUAACUACGUG
This 510-nucleotide ribosomal RNA is filed under the name uncultured bacterium. RNAcentral describes it as "bacterial SSU rRNA". It matches the Rfam family "Bacterial small subunit ribosomal RNA", at positions 8 to 507 of the family's 1533-position model. The record is from RNAcentral.